UCAAGUUUCUGACAUAAGAAGAGGACGUUUUCAGAAAAAUCCUGAACUUGAGAUGUUACUAGAAGUUUUACAUUUAAUCAAAGAUAAUGUCCUCCAGAGGCUAUUUUUCAAUCUCAUCAGACCAUUGGGGGAGUGUGUGUGUAGCCGUCCCAGGCAAGAGCCAGGAUUCUGAAUUGUCUCUCCCCACUAUCAGCUCUACGUCCUGUGGAGCAGAACAACU
Long non-coding RNA from Balaenoptera musculus (blue whale), 220 nucleotides. RefSeq lists it as uncharacterized. The transcript is spliced from 3 exons. The record is from RefSeq and is a predicted model, not a curated record. Lineage: Eukaryota; Metazoa; Chordata; Mammalia; Artiodactyla; Balaenopteridae.